RNAcentral lists this ribosomal RNA (253 nucleotides) under uncultured bacterium. RNAcentral's name for it is "partial 16S ribosomal RNA". It matches the Rfam family "Bacterial small subunit ribosomal RNA", at positions 524 to 776 of the family's 1533-position model. The record is from RNAcentral.
UACGUAGGGUGCAAGCGUUAAUCGGAAUUACUGGGCGUAAAGCGUGCGCAGGCGGUUUGUUAAGACAGAUGUGAAAUCCCCGGGCUUAACCUGGGAACUGCGUUUGUAACUGGCAAGCUAGAGUGUGGCAGAGGGGGGUGGAAUUCCAAGUGUAGCAGUGAAAUGCGUAGAUAUUUGGAGGAACACCAAUGGCGAAGGCAGCCCCCUGGGUUAACACUGACGCUCAUGCACGAGAGCGUGGGGAGCAAACAGG